AUUGAACGCUGGCGGCAGGCCUAACACAUGCAAGUCGAGCGGAUGAAGGGAGCUUGCUCCUGGAUUCAGCGGCGGACGGGUGAGUAAUGCCUAGGAAUCUGCCUGGUAGUGGGGGAUAACGUCCGGAAACGGGCGCUAAUACCGCAUACGUCCUGAGGGAGAAAGUGGGGGAUCUUCGGACCUCACGCUAUCAGAUGAGCCUAGGUCGGAUUAGCUAGUUGGUGGGGUAAAGGCCUACCAAGGCGACGAUCCGUAACUGGUCUGAGAGGAUGAUCAGUCACACUGGAACUGAGACACGGUCCAGACUCCUACGGGAGGCAGCAGUGGGGAAUAUUGGAAAAUGGGAGAAAGCCUGAUCCAGCCAUGCCGCGUGUGUGAAGAAGGUCUUCGGAUUGUAAAGCACUUUAAGUUGGGAGGAAGGGCAGUAAGUUAAUACCUUGCUGUUUUGACGUUACCAACAGAAUAAGCACCGGCUAACUUCGU
This 483-nucleotide ribosomal RNA is filed under the name uncultured bacterium. Its description in RNAcentral is "partial 16S ribosomal RNA". It matches the Rfam family "Bacterial small subunit ribosomal RNA", at positions 30 to 506 of the family's 1533-position model. The record is from RNAcentral.